CAAAAGUAUUUAACCUCCUUGUCAAAGCUUGCUCUCGUCAGAUCUCAGAAGAUAAGCAGAGCUGGGCCUGGUAAGUACUUGGAUGGAUGUGAAACCACUGGGAAUAUCAGGUGCCACUGUGGG
Molecule: ribosomal RNA, 123 nt
Filed under: Periophthalmus magnuspinnatus
Lineage: Eukaryota; Metazoa; Chordata; Actinopteri; Gobiiformes; Gobiidae
Source: RNAcentral